RNAcentral lists this ribosomal RNA (468 nucleotides) under uncultured bacterium. Its description in RNAcentral is "partial 16S ribosomal RNA". It matches the Rfam family "Bacterial small subunit ribosomal RNA", at positions 28 to 507 of the family's 1533-position model. The record is from RNAcentral.
GACGAACGCUGGCGGCGUGCUUAACACAUGCAAGUCGAACGGAAAGGUCCUGCCUUUGUGGGGUCCUCGAGUUGCGACCGGGUGAGUUACACGUGAGUAACCUGUCCCUGACUUAGGGAUAACUUCAGGAAACUGAGGGUCAUACCGGAUAGGAGCUCUCGCUGCUUGGUGGGGGUUGGAUAGUUUCGGCGGUUGGGGAUGGACUCGCGGCUUAUCAGCUUGUUGCUGGGGUAGUGUCUUACCAAGGCUUUGACCAGUAGCCGGCCUGCGAGGGUGACCCGCUACACUGGACCUGAGAUACGACCCGGACUCCUACGGGAGGGAGGAGUGGAGAAUAGAGCACAAUGGGCGGAAGGAUGGUGUGACCACGCCGUGUGCGGGAUGACGGCAUGCGGGUUGUAAACCACUUUCGCUUGAGACGAAGCGUGAGUGACGGUAAUGGGUAAAGAAGCUCCGGCUAACUACGUG